AUUGAACGCUGGCGGCAUGCUCUACACAUGCAAGUCGAACGGUAACAGGCCGCAAGGUGCUGACGAGUGGCGAACGGGUGAGUAAUGCAUCGGAACGUGCCCAGUCGUGGGGGAUAACUACUCGAAAGAGUAGCUAAUACCGCAUACGAUCUAUGGAUGAAAGCGGGGGACCGUAAGGCCUCGCGCGAUUGGAGCGGCCGAUGUCAGAUUGGGUAGUUGGUGGGGUAAAGGCUCACCAAGCCAACGAUCUGUAGCUGGUCUGAGAGGACGACCAGCCACAAUGGGACUGAGAAACGGCCCAGACUCCUACGGGAGGCAGCAGUGGGGAAUUUUGGACCAUGGGCGCAAGCCUGAUCCAGCAAUGCCGCGUGCAGGAAGAAGGCCUUCGGGUUUUAAACUGCUUUUGUACGGAACGAAACGGCUCUGGUUAAUACCCGGGGCUAAUGACGGUACCGUAAGAAUAAGCACCGGCUAACUACGUG
Molecule: ribosomal RNA, 482 nt
Filed under: uncultured bacterium
Lineage: Bacteria
Description: partial 16S ribosomal RNA
Rfam family: Bacterial small subunit ribosomal RNA
Source: RNAcentral